GCAGCACAGAUGUGUAAUCCUCUCCC
This 26-nucleotide non-coding RNA is filed under the name Mus musculus (house mouse). Lineage: Eukaryota; Metazoa; Chordata; Mammalia; Rodentia; Muridae. The record is from RNAcentral.